AGAUAUGGACUCCAUAAAGUUCUGCUACCUGUAACACUUCUUAUUAUUUUUGUCUCUGGGCCGUUACCUGUGAAUUUUAUGUAUUAAAAAAGUAGUGUAGACAGCAGGUGCAAAAAAGUGCAACAGUCUUGUGAAGCAGCAACAGCAGAAACAGCAGAAGCCAUAGCAGAACUGUGGCUAUAUUUUUCUUUUCCUUGGUACUAAUAUGGCUGCUUACCCAGCAUUGCUCAUUGGGAACUAUUGUUGGGUUAUUUCAGAAUGCCUAAAGACAGAACUGCAGAGAUUUCUAAACUAAAGCUGUGCUUUAAAGCCCUGUUGUGCAAGCCUCUGUAUGAGCAAGUGACGAAACAACAGAUGCCACCUCAGAGGACUCACAACACAGGAUUUUGAAAGCAUGGAGCAUGUGAGCAGGAUCUGCUGUUAAAGUCAUCUCUUCAGUGAGAAAGGAGGCAAGGACAAACAGCAGAUCAAUGAGAUUCAACUGGGGCACAAUCAAACUUCAAAUAUUUUCUGUUUUUUUGAAGGUUAGUAUUUUCACUUGGCUGAAUAGCACAAACUUUGGAUAGAUUCAGUAUGUUUUGAUUUGGAUUAUUUGUUUUAUUUCCCCAGAAAAUAUUUAGCUAGCAUACUCUUUCAAGUGUGCUGCAAGUGGGUGCGAUUUUCUGUCCUACUGAUCAUGCUUCUCCUAGAAGUCAAAAGUACAGGGAGUUCCCAGACUUCAUUUUUAUAAUGUAAAAGCUCAUCAUGAUGAAAUAUACACUUGUGCACAUUUAUGGGGCUGAGAUAGUUAAAAAAGCACAUUGAAUAUUUCUGUCUGAUCUUUGUUUAAGUAAAAAGACCUAACGGAAACUGGAGAUAUCAGAUAUCCCAAGUUAGGUGUUCACAUGUAACAUUUAUAUAGAAUUUUUAUAGCUUGGAAAGUGCCUUAAAGACCAUCUAUUUCCAGAUAGAGAAAAGGUGUCAAACCCCCAUUCUCUGGACAUAAGACAAGACACUCUGUGGAGUUGGUAUGCAUCUCCUAAAUCACAGUACAAACUGUGUGAACAAGAUAACACCCUGGAAACCCUGGCAGUCAAUUUAUGUGCUGUGACUUAGGCAACUAGUGGCAUUUGGGAUGUUCUGGGCUACCCCACCUGAUCUCAAGCAUCCAUUCCAGAAAGGUGGAGAUCUUCCAUGUACCUAUGCUAGGCAGAUGAUUUCAGUAUCAUAAAUUAUGAUAAUUCCUGCACUUCAACACCUGAAUUGUGUCUUGUUGCUUGUAAUGACUCUGUCUUCAUUUGCUGAAUUUAUAAAUACCUAGCAUACAGGUAGACACUUGUCUGUAGUGUGGAUACAUAACAGACACCUGGAAGCAGUUAGCUGAAUCCAAAGACACACUAGGAGAUAAGCAGUUUAUCAUUGCAAAAGAGCCUCCACUUGAGAGAAAAGAACAACCAUUUUCUUGCUGAACAGUUAAACAAAAAUUCAAAUUAAGUAAUAACAGAGAAUUCAAAUAUAUAUCAGUUUAAUGCAAAAGAGAGAUAGACUUGGGUAAUACAGUAUUAUCACAGCAUCAGUGUUAACCUGAGACACUUACAAUUAAACCAGAACCUGAACUCCUACACCUAGUCUAGAGACAAUAAAAAAAA
This is a long non-coding RNA of Passer domesticus (house sparrow), 1628 nucleotides long. RefSeq lists it as uncharacterized. The transcript is spliced from 3 exons. NCBI's taxonomy places the organism in Eukaryota, Metazoa, Chordata, Aves, Passeriformes, Passeridae. The record is from RefSeq and is a predicted model, not a curated record.